CUGGCCGCCCCUCUUAAGCAUGGCCCCAGUUCAGAGAAAGAAAACCCACAAAAUAGAACCGGAGUCCUAUUCCAUUAUUCCUAGCUGGGCUAUUCAGGUAACCGGGCCUGCUUUGAACACUCUAAUUUUUUCAAAGUAAACGCUUUAGACCCC
Thalassophryne amazonica is the source of this 153-nucleotide long non-coding RNA. RefSeq lists it as uncharacterized. Lineage: Eukaryota; Metazoa; Chordata; Actinopteri; Batrachoidiformes; Batrachoididae. The record is from RefSeq and is a predicted model, not a curated record. The transcript is spliced from 4 exons.